GCUGGAAUAGUUCAGUUGGUUAGAGCAUGUGGCUGUUAUCCACAAGGUUGAAGGUUUAAGCCCUCCUUCUAGCG
RNAcentral lists this transfer RNA (74 nucleotides) under Cucumis melo (muskmelon). It matches the Rfam family "tRNA". From Rfam's summary of the family: Transfer RNA (tRNA) molecules are approximately 80 nucleotides in length. Their secondary structure includes four short double-helical elements and three loops (D, anti-codon, and T loops). The record is from Rfam by way of RNAcentral. RNAcentral also lists the same sequence under 1 other name. Lineage: Eukaryota; Viridiplantae; Streptophyta; Magnoliopsida; Cucurbitales; Cucurbitaceae.